AUUGAACGCUGGCGGCAGGCCUAACACAUGCAAGUCGAGCGAGCGGCGGACGGGGGAGUAAUGUGUGGGAAAAUGCCUGAUGGAGGGGGAUAACAACUGGAAACGGUAGCGAAAAACGCAGACCAUCAGAUGUGCCCAGAUGGGAUUAGCUAGUAGGUGGGGUAACGGCUCACCUAGGCGACGAUCCCUAGCGGGUCUGAGAGGAUGACCAGCCACACUGGAACUGAGACACGGCCCCGACUCCUACGGGAGGCAGCAGUGGGGAAUAUUGCGCAAUGGGGGCAAGCCUGAUGCAGCCAUGCCGCGUGUAUGAAGAAGGCCUUCGGGUUGUAAAGCACUUUCAGCGGGGAGGCGUUACCCGCAGAAGAAGCACCGGCUAACUCCGUGCCAGCAGCCGCGGUAAUUC
RNAcentral lists this ribosomal RNA (406 nucleotides) under uncultured bacterium. Its description in RNAcentral is "partial 16S ribosomal RNA". It matches the Rfam family "Bacterial small subunit ribosomal RNA", at positions 29 to 526 of the family's 1533-position model. The record is from RNAcentral.